This 1233-nucleotide ribosomal RNA is filed under the name Lactobacillus sp. RNAcentral describes it as "bacterial SSU rRNA". It matches the Rfam family "Bacterial small subunit ribosomal RNA", at positions 214 to 1440 of the family's 1533-position model. The record is from RNAcentral. Lineage: Bacteria; Bacillati; Bacillota; Bacilli; Lactobacillales; Lactobacillaceae.
AUCACUUUUGGAUGGUCCCGCGGCGUAUUAGCUAGAUGGUGGGGUAACGGCUCACCAUGGCAAUGAUACGUAGCCGACCUGAGAGGGUAAUCGGCCACAUUGGGACUGAGACACGGCCCAAACUCCUACGGGAGGCAGCAGUAGGGAAUCUUCCACAAUGGACGAAAGUCUGAUGGAGCAACGCCGCGUGAGUGAAGAAGGGUUUCGGCUCGUAAAACUCUGUUGUUAAAGAAGAACAUAUCUGAGAGUAACUGUUCAGGUAUUGACGGUAUUUAACCAGAAAGCCACGGCUAACUACGUGCCAGCAGCCGCGGUAAUACGUAGGUGGCAAGCGUUGUCCGGAUUUAUUGGGCGUAAAGCGAGCGCAGGCGGUUUUUUAAGUCUGAUGUGAAAGCCUUCGGCUCAACCGAAGAAGUGCAUCGGAAACUGGGAAACUUGAGUGCAGAAGAGGACAGUGGAACUCCAUGUGUAGCGGUGAAAUGCGUAGAUAUAUGGAAGAACACCAGUGGCGAAGGCGGCUGUCUGGUCUGUAACUGACGCUGAGGCUCGAAAGUAUGGGUAGCAAACAGGAUUAGAUACCCUGGUAGUCCAUACCGUAAACGAUGAAUGCUAAGUGUUGGAGGGUUUCCGCCCUUCAGUGCUGCAGCUAACGCAUUAAGCAUUCCGCCUGGGGAGUACGGCCGCAAGGCUGAAACUCAAAGGAAUUGACGGGGGCCCGCACAAGCGGUGGAGCAUGUGGUUUAAUUCGAAGCUACGCGAAGAACCUUACCAGGUCUUGACAUACUAUGCAAAUCUAAGAGAUUAGACGUUCCCUUCGGGGACAUGGAUACAGGUGGUGCAUGGUUGUCGUCAGCUCGUGUCGUGAGAUGUUGGGUUAAGUCCCGCAACGAGCGCAACCCUUAUUAUCAGUUGCCAGCAUUAAGUUGGGCACUCUGGUGAGACUGCCGGUGACAAACCGGAGGAAGGUGGGGAUGACGUCAAAUCAUCAUGCCCCUUAUGACCUGGGCUACACACGUGCUACAAUGGAUGGUACAACGAGUUGCGAACUCGCGAGAGUAAGCUAAUCUCUUAAAGCCAUUCUCAGUUCGGAUUGUAGGCUGCAACUCGCCUACAUGAAGUCGGAAUCGCUAGUAAUCGCGGAUCAGCAUGCCGCGGUGAAUACGUUCCCGGGCCUUGUACACACCGCCCGUCACACCAUGAGAGUUUGUAACACCCAAAGUCGGUGGGGUAACC